GAUGAAGAACGCAGCAAAAUGCGAUAAGUAAUGUGAAUUGCAGAAUUCAGUUAAUCAUCGAAUCUUUGAACGCACAUUGCGCCCGCCAGUAUUCUGGCGGGCAUGCCUGUUCGAGCGUCAUUUCAACCCUCAAGCACAGCUUGGUGUUGGGACUCGCGUUAAUUCGCGUUCCCCAAAUUGAUUGGCGGUCACGUCGAGCUUCCAUAGCGUAGUAGUAAAACCCUCGUUACUGGUAAUCGUCGCGGCCACGCCGUUAAACCCCAACUUCUGAAUGUUGACCUCGGAUCAGGUAGGAAUACCCGCUGAACUUAAGCAUAUCAAUAAGCGGAGGA
This 332-nucleotide unclassified non-coding RNA is filed under the name soil metagenome. Its description in RNAcentral is "partial contains 5.8S ribosomal RNA, internal transcribed spacer 2, and large subunit ribosomal RNA". The stretch from base 1 to 120 matches the Rfam family "5.8S ribosomal RNA", at positions 35 to 154 of the family's 154-position model. The record is from RNAcentral.